UAAUAAAUUAAAUCUUAUAAACAUAAUUAUAAAUUAAAGAAAACAUUUUAUAAUAUUUAGUACUGCAAAGGAAAAUAAUAAUUUAAUUAGUAGUAUAACACGUACCUUGUGCAUAAUGGAUUUACAAGAUAUACUAUAAAAUAUUAACCCGAAUUUUUAGUGAGCUGAAUACUAACUGUUUAGAACUUAUAGGUAAAUGUUUCAAUAUUUUCUAAAGAUUAUUAUUCAGGGGCUACAUACCAAUCGCACAAAAAUAUAGCUGGUUUCUACUAAAUACUAUACAUUAGAACAUCUAUAAUAGAAUGUAAAAUAAUAAAAGAUAAGUUUUAUUAUAUAAUCUAUAAUUAAAAUAAAAUUUAUAAUUAGUAGGCUUAAUAACAGCCAUCUUAUAAUACUUUAUAGUAAAAUAUAAUUUAUAUAUUUAUAAAUUUCUAUGAUAAAUAUAAGUAGAUAUUAAAAUAAAUUAAAAGUUUUAAUUAUUUAUGUAAAUAUAAGUAUUAUAUAAAAUAUAUUAAAGGAACUAGGCAAAUAUUAUUUCGACUGUUUAACAAAAACAUUUCUUUUAGAAUAUAAAUUAAAAGUACGCCCUGCCCAAUGAAAUUUUAAUGGCCGCGGUAUCCUAACCGUGCAAAGGUAGCAUAAUAACUUGUCUAUUAAUUGUAGACUAGAAUGAAGGGGUAUACGAAAUAAAUACUGUCUCUAAUAUAUAAAUAAAAAUUAUCUUUUAGGUGAAGAGACCUAAAUAAAAUUAAAAGACAAGAAGACCCUAUUGAACUUUACUUUAAAUAUAAAUAAAUUAUAUUAUAGUUUGGUUGGGGUGACCUAGGAAUACUUAACAUCCUAAAAAAGAUAAGAUAUAUUAAUCUUUAAUUGAUCCAGUAUAUGAUAAAUAAAUUAAGCUACCAUAGGGAUAACAGGCUAAUAUUUUUUUAGAGUUCUUAUCAACAAAAAUGUUUGGCACCUCGAUGUUGGCUUAGGAAUACAUUAUGACGCAGAAGUCAUUAAUGCGGGUUUGUUCAACCUAUAAAAUCCUACAUGAGCUGAGUUCAGACCGGCGUAAGCCAGGUUAGAUUCUAUCUUUAAUAAUAAAUUAUUAUCUUUAGUACGAAAGGACCUAGAUAAUUCUAUAAUAGAUAUAAAUUAAAUAAUUUAAACUAUA
This 1159-nucleotide ribosomal RNA is filed under the name Theromyzon tessulatum. RNAcentral's name for it is "16S ribosomal RNA". The stretch from base 725 to 1087 matches the Rfam family "Bacterial large subunit ribosomal RNA", at positions 2049 to 2651 of the family's 2925-position model. The record is from RNAcentral. Lineage: Eukaryota; Metazoa; Annelida; Clitellata; Rhynchobdellida; Glossiphoniidae.